This 532-nucleotide ribosomal RNA is filed under the name Fusarium sp. RNAcentral describes it as "partial large subunit ribosomal RNA". It matches the Rfam family "Eukaryotic large subunit ribosomal RNA", at positions 96 to 651 of the family's 3401-position model. The record is from RNAcentral. Lineage: Eukaryota; Fungi; Ascomycota; Sordariomycetes; Hypocreales; Nectriaceae.
AAGCGGCAACAGCUCAAAUUUGAAAUCUGGCUCUCGGGCCCGAGUUGUAAUUUGUAGAGGAUGCUUUUGAUGCGGUGCCUUCCGAGUUCCCUGGAACGGGACGCCAUAGAGGGUGAGAGCCCCGUCUGGUUGGAUGCCAAAUCUCUGUAAAGCUCCUUCAACGAGUCGAGUAGUUUGGGAAUGCUGCUCUAAAUGGGAGGUAUAUGUCUUCUAAAGCUAAAUACCGGCCAGAGACCGAUAGCGCACAAGUAGAGUGAUCGAAAGAUGAAAAGCACUUUGAAAAGAGAGUUAAAAAGUACGUGAAAUUGUUGAAAGGGAAGCGUUUAUGACCAGACUUGGGCUUGUUUAAUCAUCCGGGCUUCUGCCCGGUGCACUUGUUCAGCUCAGGCCAGCAUCAGUUUUCCCCGGGGGAUAAAGGCGGCGGGAAUGUGGCUCUCUUCGGGGAGUGUUAUAGCCCACCGUGUAAUACCCUGGGGGGGACUGAGGUUCGCGCAUCUGCAAGGAUGCUGGCGUAAUGGUCAUCAACGACCCG